UACAGAGGUCUCAAGCGUUGUUCGGAUUCAUUGGGCGUAAAGGGUGCGUAGGCGGCGCGGUAAGUCGGGCGUGAAAUUUCGGAGCUUAACUCCGAAACUGCAUUCGAUACUGCCGUGCUUGAGGACUGGAGAGGAGACUGGAAUUUACGGUGUAGCGGUGAAAUGCGUAGAUAUCGUAAGGAAGACCAGUGGCGAAGGCGGGUCUCUGGACAGUUCCUGACGCUGAGGCACGAAGGCCAGGGGAGCAAACGGG
RNAcentral lists this ribosomal RNA (253 nucleotides) under uncultured bacterium. RNAcentral's name for it is "partial 16S ribosomal RNA". It matches the Rfam family "Bacterial small subunit ribosomal RNA", at positions 524 to 776 of the family's 1533-position model. The record is from RNAcentral.